GUCGAACGCUGGCGGCGUGCUUAACACAUGCAAGUCGAACUAAGUGGCGAACGGGUGAGUAAUACGCUGGUAACCUGCCCUCCUUUUUGGGAUAAUCCUUGGAAACGGGGUCUAAUACCCAAUAAAGGGGGUUGGGCUUGCGGCCUAUCAGCUUGUUGGUGGGGUGAUGGCCUACCAAGGCGGUGAAGGGUAGACGGCGUGAGAGGGUGACUGGCCACGUUGGCAAUGCACAACGGCCAAGGGACGUACGGGGGGUAGCAGUUGGGGAUAGUGCAGAAGGGGCGAAAGACGGAUGCAGCGGCGGCGCGUGGGGGAUGAAGGUUUUCGGGUUGUGAAGGUUUUUCGGUAUCGAAGGGGUAGGUGGCGAAGACGCGCCGGCUAACUACGUGCCAGCAGCCGCGGUAAUUC
RNAcentral lists this ribosomal RNA (408 nucleotides) under uncultured bacterium. Its description in RNAcentral is "partial 16S ribosomal RNA". It matches the Rfam family "Bacterial small subunit ribosomal RNA", at positions 28 to 526 of the family's 1533-position model. The record is from RNAcentral.